This 253-nucleotide ribosomal RNA is filed under the name uncultured bacterium. RNAcentral's name for it is "partial 16S ribosomal RNA". It matches the Rfam family "Bacterial small subunit ribosomal RNA", at positions 524 to 776 of the family's 1533-position model. The record is from RNAcentral.
UACAGAGGUCUCAAGCGUUGUUCGGAUUCAUUGGGCGUAAAGGGUGCGUAGGCGGCGCGGUAAGUCGGGUGUGAAAUCUCGGGGCUUAACUCCGAAACUGCAUUCGAUACUGCCGUGCUUGAGGACUGGAGAGGAGACUGGAAUUUACGGUGUAGCGGUGAAAUGCGUAGAGAUCGGGAAGAACAUCGGUGGCGAAAGCGCUCUACUGGACCGCAACUGACACUCAGGGACGAAAGCUAGGGGAGCGAAUGGG